RNAcentral lists this ribosomal RNA (536 nucleotides) under uncultured archaeon. RNAcentral describes it as "bacterial SSU rRNA". It matches the Rfam family "Archaeal small subunit ribosomal RNA", at positions 343 to 879 of the family's 1478-position model. The record is from RNAcentral.
GAAAACUUUACUCCGCUGGAAACAGCGAUAGGGGGACUUUGAGUGCCAGGAUACAAUUCUGGCUGUCGUCGUGCCUAAAAAGCACGGCAUAGCAAGGGCCGGGCAAGACCGGUGCCAGCCGCCGCGGUAACACCGGCGGCUCGAGUGGUAACCGCUAUUAUUGGGUCUAAAGGGUCUGUAGCCGGCUGAAAAAGUCUCUUGGGAAAUCCGGCAGCUUAACUGUCGGGCUUUCAGGAGAUACUCUUCGGCUCGAGACCGGGAGAGGUGAGAGGUACUUCAUGGGUAGGGGUGAAAUCUUGUAAUCCUUGAAGGACCACCAGUGGCGAAGGCGUCUCACCAGAACGGAUCUGACGGCAAGGGACGAAAGCUAGGGGCACGAACCGGAUUAGAUACCCGGGUAGUCCUAGCCGUAAACGAUACUCGCUAGGUGUCGGCCACGGUGCGACCGUGGUCGGUGCCGUAGGGAAGCCGUGAAGCGAGCCACCUGGGAAGUACGGCCGCAAGGCUGAAACUUAAAGGAAUUGGCGGGGGAGCAC